AGCAGGAUCGACUAAUUGGUUAGGUUAUCAGACUCAUGAUCUGAAGAUGUAGGUUCGAGUCCUACUCCUGCUA
Molecule: non-coding RNA, 73 nt
Organism: Naegleria fowleri
Lineage: Eukaryota; Heterolobosea; Eutetramitea; Acrasida; Naegleriidae
Source: the annotation of a RefSeq genome assembly